Molecule: long non-coding RNA, 3115 nt
Organism: Homo sapiens (human)
Lineage: Eukaryota; Metazoa; Chordata; Mammalia; Primates; Hominidae
Exons: 2
Source: RefSeq, a predicted model, not a curated record
AAAGACUAGAAAAACAUUUUAAAUAAGCAUAAACUUAAUACUGCAUUUUAAAAUACAUAACUUUACAAUAACAUGGUUUAUAUGACACUUUAAUGCUAGAUGCAGUUUUAUAACACACUGUGGCUCAACUUAAGUUUGUCAAAUGACAAGAGAAAAUGCAUGUUGAUUUUUCAACUCUGGCUAUAUUUUCAUGCUUGAGCUGACCCCUUCAUUGUAUUUUUAUUUUCUUUUUUCAUUCCUUACACAUACAGAAUGUAAAUAGUUUUAAUAUCAGCCUAAGUAUCACCUGACUUAGAGAGCCAGUUUACCAUCAAAAAUAAUGUAUCUUUUGCUUGAUGACUUGUGAUGUAGAAAAAAAGAAAAAGAAAUGUUUUAUCCUAAAAGAAAAAAAAAAGGGAGUGAGGGAUUUCAUGUUUUGACUGUCUGCAUCACUUAGAGGAGUCCACUGGUCCAGAUAAAAAAAGAGUAUGCUGGUAUAUUACUGCAUCAAGGAUGAACAAAGAUGGCAAGCAAAGUAAGUUUCCAAAACCAUUUAUCCCUAACUUACUCUAUGAGGAUGAAAUUCUGAAUGAUUCAUCUUACAAUCAAGAAAUUGCCAUUGUUAGUUGGGUGUGGUGGCUACCCUCCCCAGUGGGAAGAUCGCUUGAGCCCAGGAGUUUGAGCUGCAGUGAGCUACGAUUGUGCCACUACACUCCAGCCUGGGCAAUAGAGCAAGACCCCAUCUAUAAAUUUUAAAAAAGAAAGAAAAGAAAUUGCCAUUGAUUGUAUAGUAACACAAGGGUUCUCAGACCAGCAACAUCAGCACCAACUGGGAACUUGUUAAAAAUGCAAAUUCACAAGCCCACCUGGACCUACUCAAUCGGAAGCCUGGGGGUGGAGCACAGCAGUCCAUGUUUUAACAAGCCCUCCAGAUGAUUAUGAUGCUCACUCAAGUUUGAAAAUCACUGAACGAAGUCAAGAAUACAGUGGGAAAAAAAUACCUAGCACUCUGAGAACUUUAUUAGAAUGUAUUUUUAAAAAAUUGAUCCAAAAUAUUAUGACAUAGUCUUCAUGUAAUGAAUUCUUUCAUAGGACAACUAUGAUACAUAGUAAUGGUCUACAAGGAAAUAAAACCUAUAAACUGAUCCACAGAGUAGGUUUACUGGUACCAAAGGUUAGCAUUCAUUCUUCACUGUAUUUUUAUGAUCCUUUUUCAUUAAUAUUGCACCUGAGUUGCUCUGGCAAAGAUUUCCUGCACCAUUAGGUAUACAAAAGUGGUAGUUAUUACCAAUUAUUUGCUGAAAUAAAAUUAGCAGUAAUCACCACCAAAACUUUUACUGUUUUUCUCCCAUUGUUAAUUACAAUAUCCUAAGAACCACAUAUAAUGUAUCGAGCCCUUGUAAAGCUAACGAAUAAACCAAUUACAUCUUUUGCAUGAAGGAGAAAUUCCAUGUUAAAACUCAAAAACUUAUUAUUUAUUUUUUGAGACAGAGUCUUAUUUUGUCACCAAGGCUGGAGUGCAGUGGCACAAUCUCAGCUUACUGCAACCUCUGCCUCCCAGGUUAGGGUGAUUCUCCUGCCUCUGCCUCCUGAAUAGCUGGGACUACAGGUGCAGGCCACCACACUUGCCUAAUUUUUUUUUUAUUAUUUUUACUAGAGACGGGUUUUCCCCAUGUUGGCCAGGCUGGCCUCAAACUCCUGACCUCAGGCCGGUCUCAAACUCCUGACCUCAGGUGAUCUACCCGCCUCCACCUCCCAAAGUGCUGGGAUUACAGGUGUGAGCCACUGUGCCUGGCCAAAAACUUAUUCUUUUAUAUAAACUGCAUGUAUACUUUCAAAGUGAGCUAAUUUCUUUAGUAGUGACCUUGGGAAGCCUUAUUUCUUUCAUGGCAAACAUCUGAUUACUGCUUUCAUGCUGAACCAAAAGAGCUCUGCCGAAGGAGCCCUCCCCAAUCAUUCUCAGGACCAUGUAGUCAUCCAUGCUGGGGCAUCCACACAGCUGGGCUCCACUCACGCAGUCACCAUGGGCUCUCCCAAACUGCAUUCAAAAGCAGAAACAUUUGAGAAUUAAAUGUACUUUCAAAAAGCAAAAAUUAAUUCAAAGUAGCUCUCAUAACCAUGAUAAGAGAAAAGCAAAUUAUUCCUUUUGAAGAGGAUCAGUGUAUGCUACCCCAAAAUAUGCCACUUUCAUGUAAGAAUUGUUUUGAGCUGAAACCAAUUUGCUCUUUGCCCUCCCUUUUUUGUAUAAAUGCAGGGCAUAAAUUUUCCUAUGUACAGGUAAUAAAUAUCCAUUUGUAAAUGUGUCUUCCUUUCCAGUACCAGGAAGAGGAGAGCAACUCUUACCAAUGGGGAAGGCACCAACUUGAGUCCACAUAACAAACUUUACUGAAUAACCCUUAUCUUAUGUUAGCUUCCGCCAUAUAUUUACCUUCCUACAAUUUACCCAAGAAGCAUUCCCCUACUUUUGUCUAGUUACUUCUCUAUAAUUUAUCACUCUUUGUUAAAAUGGCAUAUGAGCCCCCUGGUCUAACCACUUCUUUACAUUUAUGCAUAAACCUUUUUUCCUGUUAAUCUAUCUUUCAUCAGUUUAUUUUGCAGGGCCCAGCUACUGAACCUAAGAGGGCAGAGAAAAAAUGUUUUUCCUCCCCUAUACUACAUACAACAGGCAGACACUGAGCACCAACUCUGAGUCAGAUGUUAUAAUCUGAAAAAUCUCUCAUAGUCCCUGCCAACGUGGACAUCCCAUGCAGAGAUAACCAUAAACCUCAACAAAUGUAGGCUAUUUAAGCUGAAGCCUGAAGGAUGAAUGAAACUUGGCUAGACAAAGAGGAGGAAAAGAGUAAUCAAGGAAGAGGAAAUUGCAUAUUUAAGAGCUAAAGAAAUUACAUUCAGUUCAAGAAAUUGAAAGAAGAAUGUAACAAGCUGCUGAAGCAUUUUAACCAAGAAGGCAAUAUAAUCAUAUUUGCAUAUUAGAAAAAACAUUCACUCAGAUUGCAGAUUAAAUGGACCAGUGGAGGAGGGGCAGGAAGGCCAGCUCAGAGACACAGGCCAGUUAGGAGGCUCCAACAAUAGAAAAGGCAGGAAAAUAAUGAAAUGGAAUAGAGUGGAGGCAAUGGGGUCAGAAAAAAUGGGAAGG